GCAUUGAUUACGUCCCUGCCCUUUGUACGCACCGCCCGUCGCUCCUACCGAUGAAUGUUAAGAUGAAAUUUUCGGAGGGGUCCGAUGACCCAGGCCUAGCCUGGCGAUAUGGUAUCGCAAAGUUACUUGAAUCUGAACAUUUCGAGGAAGGAGAAGUCGUAACAAGGUUUCCGUAGGUGAACCUGCGGAAGGAUCAUUGACA
Molecule: ribosomal RNA, 202 nt
Filed under: Spongotrochus glacialis
Lineage: Eukaryota; Polycystinea; Spumellaria; Spongodiscidae
Description: partial 18S ribosomal RNA
Rfam family: Eukaryotic small subunit ribosomal RNA
Source: RNAcentral